CAAGCCCUAUUUUCUCUUUUGCGAUCUCCUUUCUCUCCCUCGCUCUUUCUUCCCCUCACCAUUCUUCUCAAUAUAAUUUGUGUUUUUGGAAAGAAAGACUCCUGCAGACACGAGUCUCCAUAGCUCUUGAUAAACAAAUAAAUCCAGUCUUUUAUUGUUUGACUAUACUAAGUAGCUUGCUGUUAAGAGUGGGUGUCAACCGUGGGGGUUGUGGAGAAAGAAGAUGUAUAAAGAACGUGAGACAAACGGUAUAACGCGAUCUUAAUGAAUGGAUCUAUGAAGUGAUACAAUGAUUAAGCGCUCCUGCAUCACGAAGAUUUGAUCGAGCCAAAUAAGGGCAUGGCAAUGUUAUAUGUAAACUUCAA
This is a long non-coding RNA of Papaver somniferum (opium poppy), 365 nucleotides long. RefSeq lists it as uncharacterized. The transcript is spliced from 3 exons. NCBI's taxonomy places the organism in Eukaryota, Viridiplantae, Streptophyta, Magnoliopsida, Ranunculales, Papaveraceae. The record is from RefSeq and is a predicted model, not a curated record.